CUGUUCUAUGAGCUUCUGGUAUAGGAAAGGUGCCCACGAGGAAAACAGUAGAAUUCCUUUUGCAAAACAAGAUGGAUAGUGAAGACCAUAGGCACAUAAGAUGGACUGAUAUGAAAAUGGAAGAAUAAAUGAUGACUAAGCAACAGGCAGGUGAUGUGUGGAGAUUGAUAGCUAUUAGAGAUAAGAGAAAACUAUAUCAACCUGUAAUACCCGACAUCUUGAUAGUCAUUCCUGCCUUUGUCACAUCCCGGCUCGAUUACUGCAAUGCCCUUUACUUUGGAGUCAGCCAGUCCUCCAUUAAGCGUUUCCAGCUGGUCCAGAAUGCCGCUGCUCGCCUCUUGACUGGUACUUGUAAGAGGAAGCACAUAACUCCUACUCUGACAUCCCUUCACUGGCUCCCCAUUCAUUUUAGAGUUAUUUUCAAGAUCCCGCUCUUUGUUUUCAAAUCUCUGAAUAAUCUCGCGCCACCUUACCUCUCUGAGCUCAUCCGCCCCUACACACCUGCCCGGCACCUCAGACAUUAUUAGAAGUACCAAGAACUAAACUAAGGCUCAGAGGGGAUGGAGCCUUUUCUGUUGCUGGUCCCUCUCUCUGGAAUGACCUCCCACUGAACAUUCGGCAAGCCUCCUCGCUGCCCAUCUUUAAAGCCUUCCUCAAAACUCACAUGUAUUCUUUGGCAUUCGACUCAGCAUGACUUAGAUUUGUUCUUGGUUUUACAGUUUGGUGCUUUCUACCGCCUUUAUUACCGAUUUGUAUUACUGUUUAUUGUGCAUGUUAAAUUGCUCCAUGUACAGCACUUUGUAUGCAGCGAUGGCUUUUUGAAAGUGCUCUAUGAAUACAGUUGACUUGACUUG
This is a long non-coding RNA of Hippocampus zosterae (dwarf seahorse), 854 nucleotides long. RefSeq lists it as uncharacterized. The transcript is spliced from 3 exons. The record is from RefSeq and is a predicted model, not a curated record. Lineage: Eukaryota; Metazoa; Chordata; Actinopteri; Syngnathiformes; Syngnathidae.